Non-coding RNA from Oryza glumipatula, 207 nucleotides. The record is from Rfam. NCBI's taxonomy places the organism in Eukaryota, Viridiplantae, Streptophyta, Magnoliopsida, Poales, Poaceae.
AAAAAAGCAAACCUUAGGUUUGAGUGUCCAACGUUUGACCGUUCGUCUUAUUUGAAAAAAAUAUGAAAAAAAUUGAAAAGGUAAGUCACGCAUAAAGUAUUAAUCAUGUUUUAUCAUCUAACAACGAUGAAAAUACUAAUCAUAAAAGAAUUUUAUAUAUGACGAACGGUUAAACGUUAGACACGUAAACCUAAGGUUUGCCUUUUU